GAUGAACGCUGGCGGCGUGCCUAAUACAUGCAAGUCGAGCGAACAGACGAGGAGCUUGCUCCUCUGACGUUAGCGGCGGACGGGUGAGUAACACGUGGAUAACCUACCUAUAAGACUGGGAUAACUUCGGGAAACCGGAGCUAAUACCGGAUAAUAUAUUGAACCGCAUGGUUCAAUAGUGAAAGACGGUUUUGCUGUCACUUAUAGAUGGGUCCGCGCCGCAUUAGCUAGUUGGUGAGGUAACGGCUUACCAAGGCGAAGAUACGUAGCCGGCCUGAGAGGAGGAUAGGCGAAAUUGGGAAUGGGACACGGAGCAAAAUAGUACGGGAGGCAGCAGUGGGGAAUAGUGAGAAAUGGGAGAAAGCCAGACGAAGAAAGGCCGCGUGAAUGAUGAAGGUCUUAGGAUUGUAAAAGUAUUUCAAAGGGGACGAUAAUGACGGUACGCGGAGAAGAAGCCCCGGAUAACUGAGU
RNAcentral lists this ribosomal RNA (471 nucleotides) under uncultured bacterium. RNAcentral describes it as "partial 16S ribosomal RNA". It matches the Rfam family "Bacterial small subunit ribosomal RNA", at positions 28 to 506 of the family's 1533-position model. The record is from RNAcentral.